This 70-nucleotide non-coding RNA is filed under the name Pseudomonas sp. CBZ-4. Its description in RNAcentral is "narK RNA". It matches the Rfam family "narK RNA". Lineage: Bacteria; Pseudomonadati; Pseudomonadota; Gammaproteobacteria; Pseudomonadales; Pseudomonadaceae. The record is from RNAcentral.
GGCUCAGCUCUUGCUAAAGGAUCCCUACAGGUAACCAACGGCGGUUGCCCCUCCACGACAAAGACGUCGC